GAUGAACGCUGGCGGCGUGCCUAAUACAUGCAAGUCGAACGCUUCACUUCGGUGAAGAGUGGCGAACGGGUGAGUAAUACAUAAGUAACCUGGCAUCUACAGGGGGAUAACUGAUGGAAACGUCAGCUAAGACCGCAUAGGUGUAGAGAUCGCAUGAACUCUAUAUGAAAAGUGCUACGGGACUGGUAGAUGAUGGACUUAUGGCGCAUUAGCUGGUUGGUAGGGUAACGGCCUACCAAGGCGACGAUGCGUAGCCGACCUGAGAGGGUGACCGGCCACACUGGGACUGAGACACGGCCCAGACUCCUACGGGAGGCAGCAGUAGGGAAUUUUCGGCAAUGGGGGAAACCCUGACCGAGCAACGCCGCGUGAAGGAAGAAGUAAUUCGUUAUGUAAACUUCUGUCAUAGAGGAAGAACGGUGGAUAUAGGGAAUGAUAUCCAAGUGACGGUACUCUAUAAGAAAGCCACGGCUAACUACGUGCCAGCAGCCGCCGCCG
RNAcentral lists this ribosomal RNA (498 nucleotides) under uncultured bacterium. RNAcentral's name for it is "partial 16S ribosomal RNA". It matches the Rfam family "Bacterial small subunit ribosomal RNA", at positions 28 to 523 of the family's 1533-position model. The record is from RNAcentral.